This is a regulatory RNA element of Clostridium acetireducens DSM 10703, 155 nucleotides long. The record is from Rfam. Lineage: Bacteria; Bacillati; Bacillota; Clostridia; Eubacteriales; Clostridiaceae.
UUUGAAUAAAUUAUAGAACUUCUUAAGUUAAAAAUUUAAAAAACUCCGUAAUUCGUCACAGGACGUGACGAGCCAAUUUCCGCCCCAAGGACGGGGCAUAAAUUGGGUAGGAGUUUUUUAAAUUUUUAAUUUUAGAAGUUCUUAAUGAAAUGAUU